This 796-nucleotide ribosomal RNA is filed under the name uncultured bacterium. RNAcentral's name for it is "bacterial SSU rRNA". It matches the Rfam family "Bacterial small subunit ribosomal RNA", at positions 8 to 796 of the family's 1533-position model. The record is from RNAcentral.
AGAGUUUGAUCCUGGCUCAGAUUGAACGCUGGCGGCAGGCCUAACACAUGCAAGUCGAGCGGCAGCACGGGUACUUGUACCUGGUGGCGAGCGGCGGACGGGUGAGUAAUGCCUAGGAAUCUGCCUGGUAGUGGGGGGAUAACGUUCGGAAACGAACGCUAAUACCGCAUACGUCCUACGGGAGAAAGCAGGGGACCUUCGGGCCUUGCGCUAUCAGAUGAGCCUAGGUCGGAUUAGCUAGUUGGUGAGGUAAUGGCUCACCAAGGCAACGAUCCGUAACUGGUCUGAGAGGAUGAUCAGUCACACUGGAACUGAGACACGGUCCAGACUCCUACGGGAGGCAGCAGUGGGGAAUAUUGGACAAUGGGCGAAAGCCUGAUCCAGCCAUGCCGCGUGUGUGAAGAAGGUCUUCGGAUUGUAAAGCACUUUAAGUUGGGAGGAAGGGCAUUUACCUAAUACGUAAGUGUUUUGACGUUACCGACAGAAUAAGCACCGGCUAACUCUGUGCCAGCAGCCGCGGUAAUACAGAGGGUGCAAGCGUUAAUCGGAAUUACUGGGCGUAAAGCGCGCGUAGGUGGUUCGUUAAGUUGGAUGUGAAAUCCCCGGGCUCAACCUGGGAACUGCAUCCAAAACUGGCGAGCUAGAGUAUGGUAGAGGGUGGUGGAAUUUCCUGUGUAGCGGUGAAAUGCGUAGAUAUAGGAAGGAACACCAGUGGCGAAGGCGACCACCUGGACUGAUACUGACACUGAGGUGCGAAAGCGUGGGGAGCAAACAGGAUUAGAUACCCUAGUAGUCC